UUCGCCGCUUGCGACGUCUUGAGAAGUCCAGUGAACCUUAUCAUUUAGAGGAAGGAGAAGUCGUAACAAGGUUUCCGUAGGUGAACCUGCGGAAGGAUCAUUGUUGAAAAUCUCGACGAGGAGCACGAUGAACGUGUCAUCGAGUGUUGUCGGCCCGGGCCCUUCCUGGGCUGAUGCUGUCCUUGCCCUCGUGGUGUGGACGACGGAUCAAACCGCCGGCGCGAUGGGCGCCAAGGAACGGGAAACUUGUCGGGCGAGGACUUCAUCCCGGCUGGGUUGAAGCUCGCUUGGAACCUAACGACUCUCGGCAACGGAUAUCUCGGCCCUCGCAUCGAUGAAGAACGUAGCGAAAUGCGAUACGUGGUGUGAAUUGCAGAAUCCCGUGAACCAUCGAGUCUUCGAACGCAAGUUGCGCCUGAGGCCUUCUGGUCGAGGGCACGCCUGCUUGGGCGUCACGCCAUUGUCGCUCCGCGCAGCCUUGCCCCCGCGCACGAGUGGCUGAGCCGGAGGUGUACGCUGGCCCCCCGUGCCCUUGGGGCAUGGUUGGCUGAAGAGGGGGUCGUUGCUGGUGGUUGGACACGACGGGUGGUGGUGCUGUGAGCGAGCCGAACGUUGUGCCCUGGCCAUGCAAAUGAGCUUUUGAGGAUCCCGUCCCCACCACGAUAAUCGUUUUGUCUUUUUGAUUGCGACCCCAGGUCAGGCGGGGCCACCCGCCGAGUUUAAGCAUAUAAAUAAGCGGAGGAGAAGAAACUUACGUGGAUUCCCAUAGUAACGGCGAGCGAACCGGGAUCAGCCCAGCUUGAGAAUCGUGCGGCUGCGCCGUUCGAA
This 828-nucleotide ribosomal RNA is filed under the name Monotagma tuberosum. RNAcentral describes it as "eukaryotic LSU rRNA". The stretch from base 300 to 455 matches the Rfam family "5.8S ribosomal RNA". The record is from RNAcentral. Lineage: Eukaryota; Viridiplantae; Streptophyta; Magnoliopsida; Zingiberales; Marantaceae.